CCUACGGGAGGCAGCAGUGGGGAAUAUUGCGCAAUGGGGGCAACCCUGACGCAGCAACGCCGCGUGAGUGAAGAAGUACUUCGGUAUGUAAAGCUCUAUCAGUAGGGAAGAAAUUAAUGGCUAUUCCUGACUAAGAAGCCGCCGCUAACUACGGGCCAGCCGCCGGGGUAAUACGUGGGGGACACGCGUUAUCCGGUUUUACUGGGUGUAAAGGGAGGUUAGAGGGGGAUGCAAGUCUGAAGUGAAAGGUGGGGGCUCAACCCCUGAACUGCUUUGGAAACUGGGUGGCUGGAGUGCAGGAGAGGGAAGUGGAAGUCCUAGUGGAGCGGUGAAAUGCGUAGAUAUUUGGAGGAACACCAGUGGCGAAGGCGGCUUACUGGACUGUAACUGACGUUGAGGCGCGAAAGCGUGGGGAGCAAACAGGAUUAGAUACCCGAGUAGUC
RNAcentral lists this ribosomal RNA (443 nucleotides) under uncultured bacterium. RNAcentral's name for it is "partial 16S ribosomal RNA". It matches the Rfam family "Bacterial small subunit ribosomal RNA", at positions 338 to 795 of the family's 1533-position model. The record is from RNAcentral.